GAGUUUGAUCCUGGCUCAGGAUGAACGCUAGCGGCAGGCUUAAUACAUGCAAGUCGAGGGGCAGCAGCUUUAUAGCAAUAUAGAGGCUGGCGACCGGCAAACGGGUGCGGAACACGUACACAACCUUCCUUGAAUAGGGGGAUAGCCCAUAGAAAUGUGGAUUAAUACCCCGUAAUAUAGCGGUGUGGCAUCACACUGUUAUUAUAGUUUCGGCGAUUCGAGAUGGGUGUGCGGCUGAUUAGGUAGUUGGCGGGGUAAAGGCCCACCAAGCCUUCGAUCAGUAGCUGAUGUGAGGGCAUGAUCAGCCACACGGGCACUGAGACACGGGCCCGACUCCUACGGGAGGCAGCAGUAAGGAAUAUUGGUCAAUGGACGCAAGUCUGAACCAGCCAUGCCGCGUGAAGGAUGAAGGUCCUCUGGAUUGUAAACUUCUUUUAUAGGGGGCGAAAAAAGGUCUUUCUAGAUCACUUGACAGUACCCUAUGAAUAAGCACCGGCUAACUCCGUGCCAGCAGCCGCGGUAAUACGGAGGGUGCAAGCGUUAUCCGGAUUCACUGGGUUUAAAGGGUGCGUAGGCGGGUAGGUAAGUCAGAGGUGAAAUCCUGGAGCUUAACUCCAGAACUGCCUUUGAUACUAUCUAUCUUGAAUAUGGUGGAGGUAAGCGGAAUAUGUCAUGUAGCGGUGAAAUGCAUAGAUAUGACAUAGAACACCUAUUGCGAAGGCAGCUUACUACGCCUAUAUUGACGCUGAGGCACGAAAGCGUGGGGAUCAACAGGAUUAGAUACCCUGGUAGUCCACGCCCUAAACGAUGAUUACUCGACGUAUGCGAUACACAGUAUGCGUCUGAGCGAAAGCAUUAAGUAAUCCACCUGGAAGUACGACCGCAAGGUUGAAACUCAAGGAAUUGCCGGGGUCCGCACAAGCGGUGGAGCAUGUGUUUAUCGAUGAWWCGCGAGGACCUAACCUGGCUAGAUGCAGUCUGACCGKGGGKGAAAGCUCAUUCGUAGCAWACSMGAAUGAUAGGCCUGCAUGCUGUCGYAGCCYGUCCUUGAAGGGCUGGUAAAUCCGCAACUAGACCACCCUUUMGAUAUGKCACAGUA
This 1099-nucleotide ribosomal RNA is filed under the name uncultured Bacteroidota bacterium. RNAcentral describes it as "bacterial SSU rRNA". The record is from RNAcentral. Lineage: Bacteria; Pseudomonadati; Bacteroidota.